RNAcentral lists this ribosomal RNA (792 nucleotides) under uncultured bacterium. Its description in RNAcentral is "bacterial SSU rRNA". It matches the Rfam family "Bacterial small subunit ribosomal RNA", at positions 61 to 845 of the family's 1533-position model. The record is from RNAcentral.
GUCGAGGGGCAUCAGUUUGGUUUGCUUGCAACCAAAGCUGGCGACCGGCGCACGGGUGAGUAACACGUAUCCAACCUGCCUCAUACUCGGGGAUAGCCUUUCGAAAGAAAGAUUAAUAUCCGAUAGCAUAUAUUUCCCGCAUGGGUUUUAUAUUAAAGAAAUUCGGUAUGAGAUGGGGAUGCGUUCCAUUAGUUUGUUGGUGGGGUAACGGCCCACCAAGACUACGAUGGAUAGGGGUUCUGAGAGGAAGGUCCCCCACAUUGGAACUGAGACACGGUCCAAACUCCUACGGGAGGCAGCAGUGAGGAAUAUUGGUCAAUGGACGCGAGUCUGAACCAGCCAAGUAGCGUGAAGGAUGACUGCCCUAUGGGUUGUAAACUUCUUUUAUAUGGGAAUAAAGUGGUCCACGUGUGGAUUUUUGUAUGUACCAUAUGAAUAAGGAUCGGCUAACUCCGUGCCAGCAGCCGCGGUAAUACGGAGGAUCCGAGCGUUAUCCGGAUUUAUUGGGUUUAAAGGGAGCGUAGGCGGAUUGUUAAGUCAGUUGUGAAAGUUUGCGGCUCAACCGUAAAAUUGCAGUUGAUACUGGCAGUCUUGAGUGCAGUAGAGGUGGGCGGAAUUCGUGGUGUAGCGGUGAAAUGCUUAGAUAUCACGAAGAACUCCGAUUGCGAAGGCAGCUCACUGGAGUGUAACUGACGCUGAUGCUCGAAAGUGUGGGUAUCAAACAGGAUUAGAUACCCUGGUAGUCCACACAGUAAACGAUGAAUACUCGCUGUUUGCGAUAUACAGUAAGCG